RNAcentral lists this ribosomal RNA (252 nucleotides) under uncultured bacterium. RNAcentral's name for it is "partial 16S ribosomal RNA". It matches the Rfam family "Bacterial small subunit ribosomal RNA", at positions 524 to 776 of the family's 1533-position model. The record is from RNAcentral.
UACGUAGGGGGCGAGCGUUAUCCGGAUUCAUUGGGCGUAAAGCGCGCGUAGGCGGCCGCCUAAGCGGAACCUCUAACCCCGGGGCUCAACCUCGGGCCGGGUUCCGGACUGGGCGGCUCGAGUGCGGUAGAGGAGAGCGGAAUUCCCGGUGUAGCGGUGGAAUGCGCAGAUAUCGGGAAGAACACCGAUGGCGAAGGCAGCUUACCAAACUAUAUCUGACGUUGAGGCACGAAAGCGUGGGGAGCAAACAGG